CAACUUUGAUAAAUUGUUUAUAUCUGUUGAUGUAAAUACCCUUUUGAUUUUCAUAAAUUUCUAAUAUGGCAUUGAGAAGUAAUGAAUCUUUCUGAAAUUGUACCACAAGGUUCCAUAUCACAAAUGAAAGGCUGAAAUUGAUUUAAGGGGUACAUGUAAUUGCUCAAAACGUUCAGGAAUUAGGGGCCACAAACAAGCAUUUUACUAAAAUUACUAUUUUACAAUAACUUGUGUUAUGGAUCUAUCUAAAAUUGUACUACAAGGUUCCAUACCACACAGGGAAGGCUGGGAUUGAGUUUGGUGGUAAUUACUCCAAGAGGGGAGGGGGUGGCGUUUCAUUUUUUUUUCCAAAUUUUUCGAAAUAUCUCAAAAAGAAAUCUCCAAUUGAACAGUAUUGCACAAUAGAUUUAUAAUAUCUUUGACCACAUUUAUUUUGUGUCAGAAACCUAUAUUAUGUCAAAAAUUUUAUCACAAUCCAAAUUUAGACCGUAUCAAGCUUUAAUAUUGUACCCAAACUUGCCCCAACUGUUCAGGGUUCAGAGGCGUUAGAUUUCAAAGGAACAUUUAGGAAAGAUGGACGACAGUCACACUUAGAUCAUUUCUGUCGUCACAUGUGAAAUAAAUAACGAUUUCAAAUAGGACUUCCCACAUUUACGUCCAGUGGCAAGUUUAAUGCAUAUUCAGAACUAGAACAUAUGAAUUUUACUCUGCUUUGUAAAAACCCGACAGGC
This 731-nucleotide long non-coding RNA is filed under the name Mytilus galloprovincialis (Mediterranean mussel). The record is from RNAcentral. Lineage: Eukaryota; Metazoa; Mollusca; Bivalvia; Mytilida; Mytilidae.